RNAcentral lists this ribosomal RNA (253 nucleotides) under uncultured bacterium. Its description in RNAcentral is "partial 16S ribosomal RNA". It matches the Rfam family "Bacterial small subunit ribosomal RNA", at positions 524 to 776 of the family's 1533-position model. The record is from RNAcentral.
UACGUAGGGGGCAAGCGUUGUCCGGAAUUAUUGGGCGUAAAGAGCGUGUAGGCGGUCCGGUAAGUCAGCUGUGAAAGUCAAGGGCUCAACCCUUGAAAGCCGGUUGAUACUGUCGGGCUAGAGUCCGGAAGAGGCGAGUGGAAUUCCCGGUGUAGCGGUGAAAUGCGCAGAUAUCGGGAGGAACACCAAUGGCGAAGGCAGCUCGCUGGGGCGUAACUGACGCUGAGACGCGAAAGCGUGGGGAGCAAACAGG